AUGGCCGACGCGGGUCGACGUAUAGCGUAGUAUCUGUUCUUAUCAGCUUAAUAUCUGAUACGGGUUCUAUUUGGACCUAAUAUAUUAAACUUACUUUUACAACUUGGAGGAGUGCUUGAAGCCUGCUUCACCUCCACCGCGGGUCCACCCGCUAUUGCACUACCUCCGGGAUUGGCUCAUGGUUU
This is a small nuclear RNA of Dermacentor andersoni, 185 nucleotides long. RefSeq annotates it as U2 spliceosomal RNA. The record is from RefSeq and is a predicted model, not a curated record. NCBI's taxonomy places the organism in Eukaryota, Metazoa, Arthropoda, Arachnida, Ixodida, Ixodidae.